UGUGCUAGUGGCACAAAAUGUCAUUACAUACUAUAAAGAGAUUGGUGUUAAGAAGGGCAUCCAACUGUAGAAACC
This is a long non-coding RNA of Octopus sinensis (East Asian common octopus), 75 nucleotides long. RefSeq lists it as uncharacterized. The record is from RefSeq and is a predicted model, not a curated record. NCBI's taxonomy places the organism in Eukaryota, Metazoa, Mollusca, Cephalopoda, Octopoda, Octopodidae. The transcript has 3 exons.